AAUCAACGCUGGCGGCGUGCCUAACACAUGCAAGUCGAACGAGAAAGGGUAGCAAUACCUGAGUAAAGUGGCGCACGGGUGAGUAACACGUGACUAACCUACCCUGGAGUGGGGGAUAACUGAGGGAAACCUUAGCUAAUACCGCAUAACACCUACGGGUCAAAGGAGCAAUUCGCUUUGGGAGGGGGUCGCGGCCGAUUAGUUAGUUGGCGGGGUAAUGGCCCACCAAGACGAUGAUCGGUAUCCGGCCUGAGAGGGCGCACGGACACACUGGAACUGAAACACGGUCCAGACUCCUACGGGAGGCAGCAGUGGGGAAUUUUGCGCAAUGGGGGAAACCCUGACGCAGCAACGCCGCGUGGAGGAUGAAGUACUUCGGUACGUAAACUCCUUUCGAUCGGGACGAUUAUGACGGUACCGAGAGAAGAAGCCCCGGCUAACUUCGUGCCAGCAGCCGCGGUAAUACGAGGGGGGCGAGCGUUGUUCGGAAUUAUUGGGCGUAAAGGGUGCGUAGGCGGUUUGGUAAGUCUCGUGUAAAUCUAUGGGCUCAACUCAUAGUCUGCACGAGAAACUGCCG
Molecule: ribosomal RNA, 577 nt
Filed under: uncultured bacterium
Lineage: Bacteria
Description: bacterial SSU rRNA
Rfam family: Bacterial small subunit ribosomal RNA
Source: RNAcentral